GAUGAACGCUAGCUACAGGCUUAACACAUGCAAGUCGANGGGAAACGGCAUUGAGUGCUUGCACUCUUUGGACGUCGACCGGCGCACGGGUGAGUAACGCGUGUCCAACCUUCCCAUUACUGUGGGAUAACCUGCCGAAAGGCAGACUAAUACCGCAUAGUCUUCGAUGACGGCAUCAGAUUUGAAGUAAAGAUUUAUCGGUAAUGGAUGGGGAUGCGUCUGAUUAGCUUGUUGGCGGGGUAACGGCCCACCAAGGCUACGAUCAGUAGGGGUUCUGAGAGGAAGGUCCCCCACAUUGGAACUGAGACACGGUCCAAACUCCUACGGGAGGCAGCAGUGAGGAAUAUUGGUCAAUGGACGGAAGUCUGAACCAGCCAAGUAGCGUGCAGGAUGACGGCCCUAUGGGUUGUAAACUGCUUUUGUAUGGGGAUAAAGUUAGGGACGUGUCCCUAUUUGCAGGUACCAUACGAAUAAGGACCGGCUAAUUCCGUGCCAGCAGCCGCGGUAAUACGGAAGGUCCAGGCGUUAUCCGGAUUUAUUGGGUUUAAAGGGAGCGUAGGCUGGAGAUUAAGUGUGUUGUGAAAUGUAGACGCUCAACGUCUGAAUUGCAGCGCAUACUGGUUUCCUUGAGUACGCACAACGUUGGCGGAAUUCGUCGUGUAGCGGUGAAAUGCUUAGAUAUGACGAAGAACUCCGAUUGCGAAGGCAGCUGACGGGAGCGCAACUGACGCUUAAGCUCGAAGGUGCGGGUAUCAAACAGG
This 761-nucleotide ribosomal RNA is filed under the name Prevotella melaninogenica. RNAcentral's name for it is "bacterial SSU rRNA". It matches the Rfam family "Bacterial small subunit ribosomal RNA", at positions 28 to 776 of the family's 1533-position model. Lineage: Bacteria; Pseudomonadati; Bacteroidota; Bacteroidia; Bacteroidales; Prevotellaceae. The record is from RNAcentral.